Gallus gallus (chicken) is the source of this 2073-nucleotide long non-coding RNA. Lineage: Eukaryota; Metazoa; Chordata; Aves; Galliformes; Phasianidae. The record is from Ensembl.
CCAGAUUUCUUUUUACAUCACUUUCUGAGGCAGUAACUCUGCUUUUCACAGCUAGGAUUGAGAAAUGAAGAGAGGCAUGAAAUACAGUAAAUAAAGUUGUACUUUAUAAUUUACUCUUCAUCCUACAAACAUUUAUGACAAACUUAAAACACGGGAGCUUAUCUCUUAGUGAAAACUAAUUAUUUCAACAGGAAUUGAAGAGAUUAAUCGCAUGCUUCAAGUGGUUUGUCAGAUAAGGGCCAUAAUACAACAGGUAAUCCACAUACAAACAUUUCCAGUGUGUUAGCGUCCAAUGUUUUUAAUACAUAUUUUAAUGAAGGGGAAUAUUUCUGUUGACUGCUUCUUUGUGCUCAAGUAAGAACAUAUAACUUCGUUCUGUAUCCUCUAUCACAGCUGACACAAGGACAUGCUCCUGGAACACGCUGAGUCACAAUUCUGUGUUGUCUUCCAAUUUCCAUUUAUGUUCUAAUUUACUAGAUCAAAUGCAUAGUAAGGAUUCUAGGAAUCACAUUUAAACACCGAAGAAUCUUUGUCAGUCACACUUUAGUAUUUCACAUCUCUAACCACAACACUCCCAAUUUAACUAUUUUCCAGCAUUAAAAAUCUUGCUGCCUAAGUAGCUGUUUGCUUCAGCUUCUUCGCCUACAUAAGAAGGCAAACAAAACUUCCAAGCUCAACGAAGAACCAAAACAAAAUUCUGCUACUAGAUGUAACUUACUUAUUCCCCCCCCCAUAGUGCGUUUUCUGUCUGUUUGGUUUCUUUUUUAAUAAUUAUUUAGUCCUAUUGAAGGAAUAUUUCCUUUGGCACCUAACUGUCCGCAAAAAAAAAAAUGCUCUAUUGCUUCAUAAACUCUGUCACAAUGAACAUAAUCCUUUAGUUAAGUGCCAAUUAAUUAUUAAAAACAUUCAUUGAGGAUUAACAAUCAUGAAAUAGAUACAGCUCUAUUAUGUAGUUGUUAAUCCUCAAUAAAUCUACUUGUAAUAGACAGCAUUUUAGUACGAGAGCUAGCCUACUUAAUCUAAUGCUUUAUAUUUAAUUAGAUAAUUAUUGCAUGUUAAAAAAUACAUUCAUUAUGUUUAAUAACUAUGUAAUAAGCAUACAUCUAAUGGACAGAUUAGUAAUCCUCAGAAAAGGACUUCUUUUUUUUCAGUAAUCACUUGUAUUAGCAUCCAAGAGCGACUCUCCAACACAAAGGCCAGAACGUUAUGCUCCCCUACCUGCAGAAAUGCAGGCUAAAGAAGGGCUUACACUCCCUGAACCACUCUCUUUGGCCCCUUGGAGAAGAUGUGGGAGCCUGAAGAAGCUUAAUUGCCUUCAACACUCAUACUCCCUUGAAGCACCCAAGAUUACACCCAUACAGAAAGGAGCUCAGCAUUCCUAACAUCAACUGCAUGACAUUGCCAAAUAGCAGUCUUCUUUUCAAGACAGAAGAUUUGGACUGGAAGGUGUAAGGGCAUGCCACAUGAUACAUACAUCCCUCUGAGAACAAAGAACUCACUGGAACUGCCUGUUCCCAUGGAAUAAUGCUGAAUACACAUCAAGCUGUACAGAGAUGCUCUUCUUACAAUUUUAUUUCCUAUAUAUCCUUUCAGCACCUCUUUCAAAAAAUGGUUAUAGGGAGACAUGUAUCUCCUAUUCAUCUAAUAACCAUCUCCAGUCAGCCACCAGACAAAGACAGAUAGUCAUGAUGCCUGUUUCUAGGGAUAAAACUAUAAGAGCUAUUUAUAGCACAAGGAUCAAGCUCUGAGUGGCCUUUUUAGGAAGUAAACUUAAUAACACGAUCACUAAUCUUUCAGCUGAAGCUGUCUCAUGAAACAGAAAGAGUAUCAACUCACAUUCUGCACCUCUGGAAAUCUCUCGUUCCAGCUGGUGGUCAGCAGUGUUAUGUAACAAAGGUGACUUGAGAGAUAGUGGUUCAUACGACCAUUAAAAAUCUCCAUCGUCCAUCUUCUGUCUCGUCUUUUUCCCCUGCACUUCAAUAAUGAGCUGAUUUUAGCGACUGCUCUCUUUGAAGAAGUGUUAGCUCUUGAACCAAUGCCAGUGCAUUGCAUCUCAAGAACAGUAGACCUUGU